UACGUAGGGGGCGAGCGUUGUCCGGAAUCACUGGGCGUAAAGCGCGCGUAGGUGGCGCGUCAAGAUCGGCGUGAAAUCCCCGGGCUCACCUCGGGGGGGUCGUCGGUGACUGGCGUGCUUGGGUUCCGCAGAGGCAGGUAGAAUUCCCGGUGGAGCGGUGAAAUGCGUAGAGAUCGGGAGGAAUACCAGUGGCGAAGGCGGCCUGCUGGGCGGCAACCGACGCUGAGGCGCGAAAGCGUGGGGAGCGAACCGGAUUAGAUACCCGGGUAGUCCACGCCCUAAACGAUGGGUACUAGGCGUGGGGGGUAUCGACCCCCUCCGUGCCGGAGCUAACGCGGUAAGUACCCCGCCUGGGGAGUACGGCCGCAAGGUUGAAACUCAAAGGAAUUGACGG
RNAcentral lists this ribosomal RNA (394 nucleotides) under uncultured bacterium. RNAcentral's name for it is "bacterial SSU rRNA". It matches the Rfam family "Bacterial small subunit ribosomal RNA", at positions 524 to 916 of the family's 1533-position model. The record is from RNAcentral.